UCUCCGUAAUGUUCCAAUAGAUCCUGCUGACCCUUCACUAUAUACUCAGAAGGGAUCUCUGAGUAGAUCUCAUUACUGAGA
Xenopus laevis (African clawed frog) is the source of this 81-nucleotide small nucleolar RNA. NCBI's taxonomy places the organism in Eukaryota, Metazoa, Chordata, Amphibia, Anura, Pipidae. The record is from RefSeq and is a predicted model, not a curated record.